Felis catus (domestic cat) is the source of this 2256-nucleotide long non-coding RNA. RefSeq lists it as uncharacterized. The transcript has 3 exons. The record is from RefSeq and is a predicted model, not a curated record. Lineage: Eukaryota; Metazoa; Chordata; Mammalia; Carnivora; Felidae.
UGAAUAGACCAUUUUCAGCCUAACGUUUGUAAUGUAACACCAUAACUACAAUCAAGUUCUGCCUCUCCUAGGAGAAAUAGCAUGACUCUGCUGCCUGACUUCUGAGCAUCUCUGCCUGAACAUCUGAACACCCUGGUUGCUACCAGAUCAAGUCAUUUUGUCAUGUCCAUUAGGCCUGGUUUGCGCUGUUACUGUGGCCAGUGUGAAAGCAAAGGUCUCAGCUUCCCGCAACUCUGAUCUCAAUCCUUCUGAUUUCCUUUAAUUUUUUACUGUGAUGGAUGCUGGAGAGAGUAUAGCAAAUCCCUUAAGAGCCUGGACUGUGACACCUGCAGUGUGUUCCUUCAUCUCUGGCCUUCCAUGUACAAGGUUUGCCUCAUAAGUUCCUUUGAUAAAUAGAAUUCCAUGAAGCCUGGUUGCCUCUGCUUUUGCUCUUCAAGUGAUUUGCCAAGGAAGAAUUCUGACUGAUGCAGAGAUAGAUCACCAUGAUGUGAGGAAGACCAAGCUACUGAGCUAGAAGAGCUCAUAGGAAGGAGUAGUGUGAUACCAGACAUGCAAGUGCGAACUUCUUAGACCUCACGACCUAACCCAACUGAAGGCAGACCCCCAAAAUGAGAGCUUAUAUGAGAGAUCAGACAACAGAAGAAGGCUCUGGGGAUUAUGGUAACAUUUUACCAUCUAGAAAAUUCUAAAGGGUAAGGAUGAAGACUUUUUAUUGAUCAAAAUCUUUUUUUUAAGCCUGAAAACAAUUAAGGUAAUUUCUAAUGUCAAAGAGAUUUGAAGUGAAGCCCCUGAAGGACACUCCUUCCACUACCGCAUUCCCAUUUCAUGGGGUCAGAACAAGAGGUUGCAAGGCCUGAUGUCUUCAGUCCUUCCCUGACCCACAGAAUACUUCUCUCUCCUUCACUUUUACCAGAUAAUAGCUUUAUAAUUCACAUCCUCUGAAAUUCACCCUCUGAAGUUUUUUGUUUAUUUGUUUGUUUUGUAUAUUCACAGAAUUGGGCAACAACACCACUAUCUAAUUUCAGAAAUUUUCAUCUCCCCCCAAAAGACACCCUGAACACAUUAGCAGUCAAUCUCAAUUUGCCCCUCUCCAUACUCUGAAAACCACCAAUCCAUACUGUUUCUAUGGUUUGCCUAGUCUGACCAUUUAGUAUAAAUGGAAUCAUAUAGUACAGGGCUCUUUUGUAUUUGGAUUCUUCCCUGUAGCAUAAUGUUUUCAAAGAUUAUCUAUCUUAUGGCAUAUAUCAGUAUUUUAUUCCUUUUGUUUGUUUGCUUUUUAAGUGUAGUUGACACACGAUGUUACAUUAGUUUCAGGUGUACAACAUACAUCGAUUCAAUAACUUUAUACCUUCUGCUAUGCCAUUUUUUUAUGUUAGUCAUCAUAGUGGGUGUGAAGAAAUAUUUCAUUGGGAUUUUGAUUUGCAUUUCCCUGACUAAUGAUAGUGAGCAUCUUCUCCUGAGAUUAUUGGCCAUUUGUAGACGUUCUUUGAAGAAAUAUCUAUUCAAGUCCUUUGCCCAUAUUUAAAUUGGAUUAUUUGCAAAAGUUCUUUGUUCUGAAAACUUGUAUGAUUUGUAAAUAUUUCCUCACAUUCUGUAAGUUGACUUUUCAAUUUGACUAUUUUUUGAUGGUACAGCACAAAAUUUUUAAAUUUUAAUGAGGUUCAACUUACCUAUAUUUUCUUUGGUAAAUAUACUCUUAGUGUUGCAUCUUAAGGGUCCAUAACUUAAUCCAACAUCCCAACAGCCCUGAUUUUUUUCUAAGAGUUUUUUUAGUUUUGCACUUGCAUUUAUUUCUAUGAGCCAUGUUGUUAUUUUUGCAUAUGAUAUAAGGUAAGAGUUGAGCUGUAUUCAUUUAUACACAAAUAUCUAGUCAUCUCAGUACCAUUUCUUAAAAAGACAUUUCAUUGUCCUGACACCCUUAUUGAAAAUCAAUUGCCAUAAACUUAAGAGUUUAUUUAUUUUUGGACUCUCAAUUAUAUUCUAUUGAUCUACAUAUCUAGCCUUAUGCCAGUACCACAUUGCCUUGGCUACUAUAGCUUUAUAAGUUUUUAAAUUGGGAAGUAUGGAUAAUCCAAACUUUGUCCUUUUUUAAAGAUUGUUCUAGCUAUUUUGGGCCCAUUGUAUUCCCAUAUGAAUUUUUCAUAUGAAUUUUCACAUGAAUAUAUUACUUUCUGCACAAACCUCAGCCAAGAUUUUGAUAGAGAGUAUAUAUAUAUGUUGAAUCUGUAGAUUAGUUUUGGAGGACUGACAUCUCAA